RNAcentral lists this ribosomal RNA (442 nucleotides) under uncultured eukaryote. RNAcentral describes it as "SSU rRNA". It matches the Rfam family "Eukaryotic small subunit ribosomal RNA", at positions 384 to 912 of the family's 1831-position model. The record is from RNAcentral.
CGGAGAAGGAGCCUGAGAAACGGCUACUACAUCUAAGGAAGGCAGCAGGCGCGUAAAUUACCCAAUCCUAAAUCAGGGAGGUAGUGACAAGAUAUAACAACGCGAUUAAAUAUCGCGAUUGUAGUGAGGGUAUUCUAAAAAUAGCUUCGAGUACGAUUGGAGGGCAAGUCUGGUGCCAGCAGCCGCGGUAAUUCCAGCUCCAAUAGCGUAUAUUAAAGUUGUUGCAGUUAAAAAGCUCGUAGUUGGAUUUCAAGAAACGCAUCUGGGCAACCAGUUUGCUUUCUACCAGUCUUUGACUGUUACUGUGAGAAAAUUAGAGUGUUUCAAGCAGGCAAUUGCAGGAAUACAUUAGCAUGGAAUAACGAAUGUAUCUACAAUUUGGUUGAUUGUAGAAUACGAUUAAUAGGACAGUUGGGGGCAUUAGUAUUUAAUUGUCAGAGGU